AAGGAAGCACAGGCCCAGCUUCUAAUUCGGCCAAAGGGUUUUAAAGACUAAAUUCUAGCAUUUUCUGAAUGCUUCAUAGAUGUUCCAGAAGACAUUAAUAAUAAAUGACUACAAUAAGCAUUCCAAAUGAUAUUCUAAAAUGAGUACUUUCUGGCCGGACAGUGACUCACGCCUAUAAUCCCAUCACUUUGGGAGGCCGAGGCAGACAGAUCACUUGAGGUCAGGUGUUGGAGACCAGCCUGGCCAACAUGGUGAAACCCCGUCUCCAUUAAAAAUACAAAAAUUAGCCGGGCAUAGUGGUGCAUGCCUGUAAUCCCAGCUACUCAGGGGCUGAGGCAGGAGAAUGGCUCAAACCCAGGAGGCAGAGGUUGCAGUGAGCCGAGAUUUGUGCCACUGCACUGUAGCCUGGGCAAGAGAGCAAGGCUCCAUCUCAAAAAUAAAAAAUAAAAUGAGUACUUUCUGUGAUCAAAACUAUCAGCUAAACUAUUUCAUCAAAAGACCCCACUAAUCAGGAAAACUGAUGCCAAAGAUACCAAAAUUGAUCAGUGGAAAACACUGGUUUAUAACUCGACGCUUUGUAGAAGUGCACAUUUUGAUAAUUUGUAUUAAAGACACUAAGAUACAUGAAGCACUGUGUAAGUUUGGCAGACAUUAAUAUACUAAUUUCAGAGGCGGUAAACCUAUGAACCCUCAAUGUUCUAGUUUGCUCUUGAAAAUCACACUAUUUCAAAGCUUAGUAAUGUGGAUAGAUUUUUAUUCAGAAAUCCUUUCAUAUUCACUAACUGCAAUUAAAUGUUUAAAAUUACAUGGCUCUUAGGAACGAUGUCAAACAUGCAACAUUUUAAGAGUGAUAGAUUUAAACAGUAAUUUUGCCCUCAGAAGUUUACUUAUCAAAUUAUUACAACAGAAACACAAACAGACCAUAUAUUACUCUUUAAUUGGAUUUGUUUUACAAUAUGUUCUUGUCAAUGAGCUACUGUUUAAACCUGACAGAAAAGCAUUUUCACAAAAACGCACCAUGGAGAGGGAGAGGGAGGGGGAGGGAAGAAGCGCUUUUUCUAGAGAUGGGAAAUAGUCCCAGUAAAAAAUUCUUACUCCUUUCUUCUAAGGAGCUCGUUCUGAAUAUUUUCACUUAGUUCUAUUGUUCUUUAAACAGGACUUUAAAAAUAAUUUUGUAUUUACAAAAUUUACAUUUUGUUGCUACAAAAUGUAAUUUACAUUGUAAAAUAAAAAUGUAAAAUUUUAA
RNAcentral lists this long non-coding RNA (1246 nucleotides) under Macaca fascicularis (crab-eating macaque). RNAcentral's name for it is "lncRNA (ENSMFAG00000064232.1)". The record is from RNAcentral. Lineage: Eukaryota; Metazoa; Chordata; Mammalia; Primates; Cercopithecidae.